UCCCCAGCCCCUAAGCUUGUUUUCAUAGUUCUGCUUGUCAGUGUCUGGGUAAGUCCUUACACUGGUCAGCUUUUCUGUUGCUGGGACACAAUACCCAACACUUAAAGAAGGAGAGGUUUGUUUGGCUUCCAAGGUUUCAGUCCAUGGCUGGCUGAAUCCAAGGCAUAGACAUCAUGGCGGAAGGACGCAACAGAAGGAAAGCUGCUCAAUUCAUGGUGCCCAGGAAGCGGAGCAGGGGAAGUGCCGGAGAGGAAGAAGCCAGGGACUAGGUAUAGACCCACGGCCACACCUCCGUGAUGUGUUAUACUAAGCCUGAGGUCGCUCCCAAGCCGACCAAAUUGACAAUUAAGCUUAUCCACCGCAGCCCUUCUGUCGUGAAGGUCCCAAUCUGUCUCCAGAGUCCCCGCCUUGUAAAGGUCCUGCGGAGUCUCGGAUGUGGAGCCUCUAGAACUCAAGCUGUGGGCUCAAACUGAAAAGAAGAAGCAGGAUUUGAAAAGAGAAAGCCAUUUCCCCAACUUCCUCCUCCCUACAGCUGUUGUUCUUUGUUCUAAUACAGAUAAAAGCGGCAACUUUUGUCCCUAUUACGAAAGAGCUCAUAAUUUGAUGGCAUUAUUGGGAGAUGAUGGAAAUAGGACCCGAGACCUAGCUGAAGAGAGCGCAUCACAGAAGUGUGGACCUGGGGACCGUGCUGGUCCCUGGCCCCUUAUUCCCUGGCUCUUCCUGUCUCUGCCCCUGGCUGUCAGGAAGACCUGGUUGCCGUGCGAUGUCCUUCCGCCGUGAUGUUUCUGCCCUGCCACUCGCCUAAAAGCAAUGGAGCUGGCCGCUCAUGGACUGAAAGCUCUGCAAAUGUGAACCAGGAUAAACUUUUCCGCUUUUAUUUUUUAUUUAUUUAUUUUUAAAAACGUUUCCACUUUUACAUUAGUCGCAGAGGGAAUCGAACUCAUGACCUCGAGCUUGCCAGGCAGGCGCUGUGCCGCUGUGCUAAGUCCCUAGUCCCAAGCUUUAUCCAUUUGAAGAGUAUGUCAGAAGUUCCUUCCUUCUUAAGGCCGAAUAAUAAUCCACUGCAUGGGAGAAAACUAAGAUGUCAGAGGUAAAUCAUUUGCUCACUGUUACCCAGUCAACGCUGGCAAGUCUGAUCUCCAAGCCCACUAUUUUUAUCACUAAAUCCAAACGGACAACACUAUGCAGAUCCCGACCUUAUCCCCGCCUCUAAUAACCAAAGCCGCUUCAGUGCAUGCUCAUGGAACCUGCUUCCCUCUGCUUACUUUUCCUGUAGGUGGAUCUUCAGCCGUCUAGCAAGUAAAGUUUGUGUGUUUCUUCCACAAAUUCAUCAGAAACACACAAAUUUAUGUGAAGUUAACAAUUAAACACAGUACAUUUUUUCCUCUAGAGGCAAUUUAGUCUUUUAUGCAAAUUGAC
Molecule: long non-coding RNA, 1419 nt
Organism: Chinchilla lanigera (long-tailed chinchilla)
Lineage: Eukaryota; Metazoa; Chordata; Mammalia; Rodentia; Chinchillidae
Exons: 4
Source: RefSeq, a predicted model, not a curated record